GGAAUGCUACUGAACUACACUUCUGACAUCUAUAUAAAAUUUUGGCAGCAUCUCCUUUGCAAAAUUGCAUAAAUGGGGGGGGGGAAGACAACAGUGUAUAAACAUAUAUCAUGACAAAAACAUACCAAGGAUUAUUAAUCGGCUAGCAAAGGGAAGUUAAACAUACGACAUGAACUGAAUUAACCAGUGCGCACGACUAGCAAAAAAAAUAAACUUCUUUUGACAACAAGUUUCUAAUUAAAUCAUGGCUACGCCUGGGCAUGAGAGUGAAAGUGGACGUGCUGCUACUCCCCUCAUUCCCAACAUGUAUCAAGUACCUGCAUUGAGUAAUGCAAGAGUGAGAUGACACAUCUCAGCAAGUAAAAUAAUAUCAAACUGUUUAACCACAUAAGAAUAUUGUUUUACCACCACUUGAUUUCACAACCUUCUUAUUACAAAGGUGCAGCACGUAUACCACGUACAACACUCCUAGCUACCACACCUCGCAGGUAGAAACCACAAUAGUAACAUAGUAAUGUCACUCUUCAUAUAUAUACCUCAUGAGUGCAAAUGUCUGCAAAUGCAAGGAUGACUUCUGCCUUCAUACCUCUAAGGAUAUGAAGCCGCAUCGUACCCCUCCUCGGGCAACGUACGAUGCUAAAAAAUGUACCGGUACGGUCGGACCAUAAGAUCACGACAUAACUUCAAAAUGCAAGAUGGAUGAUGCGAUGAGCAUGUCAUGCCUACAACACUUCAUAUAACGUGAUUCAAAAAAAAUACUUCAACUUCAUCCAAGAUGUGAAUCAACCACAUAUAUCAUUACCAAAUUAUGAUCAUCCACAAUAUUAGACAAUUGAGAAUUAAUACUUCCAAACAAAUAAACUUCUUCAUAGAAUUCAAUGAUUAACAUAAUUAAAACUUAUGCAUACUCAAUGUCAGGGAAUAGGAUGCAACCCAAACGGUAGCAACCACCACUGUAUUUACUUGCCUUUACCGGAAGUUUGGGCAGAUCCCUAAGUACGAUCCGGAAGUCCACCACCUGUUUUUGACACACAACUUAGUGCACCAAUUUCACAUAACCCGGCUCAUAAACGACGCCGCACCUACGCACAAACUCAAACCCCGCCGCGGGUUACAUCUCUCCCCACACCCACCAAACUGCAGCGGCGCUGCUUAAUAAUUUCAUAACUUCAAAAUUAUGACAGCAUUGGUAACAACCAAAAACUCCAGAGGCAUCUACAUAAAAUUUCCCACAAGUUUUGUAUACAAUUUAUAAUUAAAUUCCAACAUCUAAUUAGCCCAAAACAGUUCACAAGAUGAACCCUGUAAUCUAUUUUUUUCUCUUUUGGACAGCGACAUACCCGGAUUCAAACAGCGAUAUCUUUUAAAAUAUAAUUCCAAUUCAAGCGCAUAAGUACUCAUUGGAAAGAUAAGACAAAGCCAUACAUGAUUAUCAUACUGGUUAGCACUAAUUAACCACGAAAAAUUCCCAGAAAUUGCUAAUACUACUGCUGUUCACCCACCUGAAAAAUCUGUUUGUUUGGACAGCAACAUACCCGGAUUCAAACAGCGAUAUCUUUUAAAAUAUAAUUCCAAAUCAAGCACAUAAGUACUCAUUGGAAAGAUAAGACAAAGCCCUACAUGAUUAUAAUACUGGUUAAUACUAAUUACCCACGAAAAAUUCCCAGAAACUGCUAAUACUACUGCUGUUCACCCACCUGAAAAAUCUGUUUGUUUGGACAGCAACAUACCCGGAUUCAAACAGCGAUAUCUUUUAAAAUAUAAUUCCAAAUCAAGCACAUAAGUACUCAUUGGAAAGAUAAAACAAAGCCCUACAUGAUUAUAAUACUGGUUAAUACUAAUUACCCACGAAAAAUUCCCAGAAACUGCUAAUACUACUGCUGUUCACCCACCUGAAAAAUCUGUUUGUUUGGACAGCAACAUACCCGGAUUCAAACAGCGAUAUCUUUUAAAAUAUAAUUCCAAAUCAAGCACAUAAGUACUCAUUGGAAAGAUAAGACAAAGCCCUACAUGAUUAUAAUACUGGUUAAUACUAAUUACCCACGAAAAAUUCCCAGAAACUGCUAAUACUACUGCUGUUCAUCCACCUCAAAAAUCUGUUUUUUUGGACAGCAACAUACCCGGAUUCAAACAACGAUAUCUCCUAAAUUAUAACUCCGAAUCGAGCGCAUAAGUACUCGUUGGAAAGGUAUGACAAAGCUCUACAUGAUUAUCCCACUGAUUCCCACUAAUUACCCCACGAAAAUUCCCAGAAAUCCCUAGAACUACUGCUGUUCACCCACUCACAAAAUUCCUGGACAGCACCUCUACCGAUUCGCAAAGAUAAACACAUAAUCCAAUUGAUUGCAGCACAAAAACAACAAAAGUUAAUCACAAAUUCACCUUAGGUUCUUCCCUUCCUCCUUCCUUCUUCCUCCCUCCAAACUCCAAUUGAGAUCGCAGCCACACGACGGAGAACCACACGGGAGGGCUGCACCUUGGAGGAGGGGGAGAAAUGGGGGGGCUAGGGUUUUGGGUGGUGAGGGCUGCAAAGAUUUGAGGAGGAAGAAGAUGGGAGAGGGGGGGGCGUCCAAGAGAAAGGGGAGGGGAGGGGGGCGGCUGCAACAACCCAAGGGGGAAAAAGGGGGGGGGGCGGCUAGGGUUAGGGGAGGGUUAGUGGGCCGGAUUGCGAUUCGCGGCCCAACUCGCUUGCACGACAGCUACCGACCAACCACUCUACUGCUAUACUGGUGAAUGUUUUCCAUAAAUUCUAAAUCCCCAAAGCGCGACACCCGAAUAAUAGAAAAAACAAACAAAAAGAAUAACCUUCAACUUCUCUUCUUUGCAAACCGGGUAUCACACUCUACCCCCCUUAAAAAGAAUUCGACCUCGAAUUCCGACGCUUCUAUCGGAACGACAAGGAAAGAUCAGCGACAACAAAAACUCACCCCAUAACGAAAAGUUCGGGGUACUUCUGCCGCAUCAGCUCCUCGAGCUUCAAGGAUUCUAGGAUACGCAGCAAACGACACUCUAGAGUCAGGUCUUGCUACAUGGGAAUCGACUCUAGCUCGAUUAUUGAUAUGGAUUCCGCAAAUACUUUCUCAACAUAGAGACAUGGAAUACAUGGCGUACUCUGAUCAUAGUCUCCGACAAUUGCAUGUGCUAAGCCAAGCUGCCAACUCGGGCUAAGAUAAUAGACAGUCCUAUAUAACCCGGACAAAGUUUUCCUGACACCAAAUCAACAUUGACACAUGCAAGUACUUCAAUGAAUAUAUAUAAUGAAAGCAAUACAUACUGUGCUCCAAUAUCCUAAACCAAACCUAUCCAAACAAGAGUAACUUCAAAAGAUCAAUUUAAUGCUUGCAUAUUUCUAGACAUCAGCAGAACGGUUAAUUGUUUUGCUCAUAAACUCACAAAGUAUGCAUCCAACAGUAGUAAACUAGGACUUUAUGAAAAGCUUACAAAGUCCACUAUACCCUUGGUAUUAUCAUCACCACAAGAUUUGACACUUAGAAAGGACAAACAAUGCGAAACGUAAAUUUUGUCCAGACUUGGACAGAAUUCAACUACUCACUUAAAAAAAACCAUAAUUGGAGUCUCAGUCAUCCAAUUUAGGCGCUCCUAGACUUUUUUCAAAGCCAGUAAAAUUGUCUAUAUUUCAUUUAUAAACAUAUCAGGUUAAUUCAAUGCAUAUCAAGGUCAAAAGACAUAAGAAAGGCUGUGCUGUCCAAAUUUGGACAGAUUCAAAGAUUCCACUUAAAACAGCUGUAGCUUAACUUAUAGGUCACCAAAAAGGGUGAUCCAAUAUUUGUUGGAAAUCUUAAGGAAAGUACUCCACUUCUUUAUAAUUUAUAAGAACUGAUUCAAAGUUUAACUUGGGCAAACAAGGUCAGUUUCAAAAUCUGUACAGAAUCUGGACAGAUUCCAAGACUAGACUUGAGAAAAUCAUAACUCCCAAACUACUAGACCUAUGGUCAUGAAAUUUUACACAAGUAAGAUGAAGAAGUUGGCUACAACUUUUAUAUACAACACCUCUACAGAAAACAUGGUUUAAUUCAUUGAACUAGCUGCAUAACCAAAACUGGUCAUGUAGUCCCAAACAGCAAGCAAUAGAUUUAUUCAGGUUCUAUACUCUUCUAAGAUUAAGCGUUCAUCGAAGGACUAAUAACUUUAGGUUCUUCAUUACGAGACACUCAGAGCCAACAUAAAGAUAGAAGCCAUAUGCUAACUUUUUUAAAUCAUUUUAAGCCUUAUCUCACAUCAUGGAAGCAAGAAUCGAUUUAAGCAUACUACGCCUGCCCAUAUAUCCAUCCAAGCAUAUUCUAUACAUUAUAUCAUUCCAUCGAAGAACACUUUUUUUAAUUAUACUAUGCAUAUAUAUCCAUCCAAUAACUCACCCAAUCUGCAUCUAACAAAAUUUUGCAAAUACAAACUCAUUGGAAAGGUUAUAACAUUUCCUAAAACUUUUAUUAUAAUGAGUGUCUCAGAAUUGGUUUCCAAACCGAUAAAACAAUGCAACUGCUUUGUUGCAAAAACUGAUAGGAUAGAAAUAUUGGACAACUAAAAUUCAAAAUCCUAUAACUCCUGCUAUACUCAACUUAAAACUACAACGAACAUGCGUUGGAAAAGUUUGGAAAUUGUCCACGACUUUUGCAAUAAAGUUGCACCCAAAUUUAUCUUUAUAACCCUCAACUCUGCAUGACCUACAGCUAAACUCAACCUGAGAUACUGCACAUCAGAGAUUCGACUUAUAUCCGGACAACCACCUCUCCCAAUCUAUUUAAUAGGCAAUUACAAGUAAAUACCCAUUAAAAGGUACUUAGAAAAACUAAAAGUUUUUCUUAAAGAGAAUUCCCAAAUUUGGGCUCUGAAACUAUCAGAACACGGUCGAUUUAUUGGUGGUUUUAACGACACCUAAAGUUCAGACACAACGGUGUAACAACUUCAGAGUAGCCUAACUCCAAUUAUAUGCAAUGAAAAUUACAAAUCAAUAAUCUUUGGAAAGAUCAUGAAAUUACUAAAACUUUCAUAAUCCAACAAAAACCAAAAUUUACCGUCUUCAAUGUCUAUACUUCCGUACAAAAUUAAGGCUGCUAUAGGAAACCCAUAACUCUCCAAUGUUUAGACCAAACUGGGUGAUUGAGCAACCUAUGCAAAGAUGAAGAAGCCUACUACAAAACAUUCUAGAUAAGUGAAGCCUGAUUCAGCCUCCAACUAAUUUAAAAUGACUCCCAAAACCAAACAACACCUUACCCAUAAUAAAAAAACAAUAUAAAAUAAAACCCAAGGCAUUGGCAGGUGCGAUCAACACUAGGAUUUUCCACUACCAAAUGGGGAUGCAACUCCCCAAAGCCGUUAAGCAACACUUUACCUAAUAGGUUAGAACACUAAGCACAACAAUCAACGAAUUAAACAACCUCGUUUGUUAAUGCCACUAAGGUCAAACAUCCAUGUAUCGACAAUGUAUGAAACACCUGACAUACCCGUCUCUAGCACUAUAAGACAUGGUUGUUAUUACACUAGAAUCCAACUAUUAGAGCUCUCCACAACUAUUCUGUUGACGUGAAGCAAAUGGUGCUCAUGUCAUGUAACGUCUUUUCCUCCUCUCAAAAGAGAUAAAAUUUGCAAUACUCAUAAAGCAAUGGAGGGAUAACAAAAAGAAAAACUAAUGUACUUCUUGACACAGACUCAUGCAAAAGCUUCAUAAAUAUUACUUUCAAUACUAAAAUAGCCACACGAUACUAUGCUCAUCAGGAGUAAUUGGAUGUCAAUAAGACAAUCCACAUAACCAAACUACCUUGAUUAACCUCACAUACAACAAAACCUACUAUUACUGCACUUGAACAAUUUGUACCUCGUGAUAUCACAGGAUGCAUUCAAAGUAGUAGACAUACAUGAUCUAUCAAACCAUCAUUCAUAUAAGAAAAAUCUCAAUCCGAUGCAACAACCCCAUCAUUAAAGAGAUAGAUGACUAACAAACAUAAGCAACUCCCAGUUAAGCAUUGACUUCGUUUAAGAUAAAGCGGUCCAAAUAAUGAUUCAACAAGCAUGCAUAGAGAAACUGAUCAUAAAAAAAAAAUCAAACUACCAUACAAUGUUGGCAAAUAAAAAAAAUAAAAUGGGUUGUCAAUAUCGUCCACAUGACUAGCCUGCAACAACUAAAAAUUAUGCAUAGCCUUUAUAGCUAUUGAAACAAACCAUAGAAGGAAAACAUGCACGACAUAAAAUCCACUUGAAACCACCCUAUUUAUUGUUGAAAAAAAUAAGGUUGCACAUAAUAAGAAAACCUAUCAGGUAAACAUGGUUGGACUUAUCAAUCUACGUCAUCUUACAAAUUCACUUGAGUUCUACCAGUCUCAAGAUUUCAUAGACAUUACAAUGUUGCCUUUGCUCUAUAGAGACAAACCAAUUUUAUACUAAGAUCAAGUUAGCAAGUAGCCACACUAGCCAAAAAAGUGAGGCGCAAAGCAUUGCAUCCAUGGAAAUAUUACAUUGAUAAGUUGGGUUGUAACCCAACAGUCAAUCAAACUCAACAACACCAUAAAACUACAUUAUAUAGUGUUUUCACACUACACCAAGUCGGAUUAGACCCACUAUAGACAAGCUCAAUAAACAAUCGGUCCUACAAGUACUAGAACCCAAGAAUCCUUUUGGAAAAAAACAUCCACAGUCAAGCAUAUAGAAAUAUAUGAUAGUAAUAGCUCAGAGAUUUGAAAACAUUGCAUCAAAAAAAACAUCAUGACAAUAUGUAUAUAAAACAAGUACAGUAGUAGCUUCACUUGCAUAAUAUCUUCAAUAACAACCACAUCAAGAAACCAAUAUUAAAUAGAAAUAACAUAUCAUAUCCAGCAUUACGUCAUUAAUGACGUACCCCAUCAAACCAUAAAGGAAUUUGGAGUAAGGAAGUUCUAGUCAUCUAUACAAUAAAGUACUAAUAUGAAAGAUAUACGAACCCAUACCCUUCCUAUAUGUGCAAGUGUGUCAAAUUUAUCUUCAAAUUGCGUAGAAUCUAAAGCCUAUCCUCUGAUACCAACUGUAACACCCCGGAGUCCAAAAACACCCCGGAAUGCUACUGAACUACACUUCUGACAUCUAUAUAAAAUUUUGGCAGCAUCUCCUUUGCAAAAUUGCAUAAAUGGGGGGGGGGAAGACAACAGUGUAUAAACAUAUAUCAUGACAAAAACAUACCAAGGAUUAUUAAUCGGCUAGCAAAGGGAAGUUAAACAUACGACAUGAACUGAAUUAACCAGUGCGCACGACUAGCAAAAAAAAUAAACUUCUUUUGACAACAAGUUUCUAAUUAAAUCAUGGCUACGCCUGGGCAUGAGAGUGAAAGUGGACGUGCUGCUACUCCCCUCAUUCCCAACAUGUAUCAAGUACCUGCAUUGAGUAAUGCAAGAGUGAGAUGACACAUCUCAGCAAGUAAAAUAAUAUCAAACUGUUUAACCACAUAAGAAUAUUGUUUUACCACCACUUGAUUUCACAACCUUCUUAUUACAAAGGUGCAGCACGUAUACCACGUACAACACUCCUAGCUACCACACCUCGCAGGUAGAAACCACAAUAGUAACAUAGUAAUGUCACUCUUCAUAUAUAUACCUCAUGAGUGCAAAUGUCUGCAAAUGCAAGGAUGACUUCUGCCUUCAUACCUCUAAGGAUAUGAAGCCGCAUCGUACCCCUCCUCGGGCAACGUACGAUGCUAAAAAAUGUACCGGUACGGUCGGACCAUAAGAUCACGACAUAACUUCAAAAUGCAAGAUGGAUGAUGCGAUGAGCAUGUCAUGCCUACAACACUUCAUAUAACGUGAUUCAAAAAAAAUACUUCAACUUCAUCCAAGAUGUGAAUCAACCACAUAUAUCAUUACCAAAUUAUGAUCAUCCACAAUAUUAGACAAUUGAGAAUUAAUACUUCCAAACAAAUAAACUUCUUCAUAGAAUUCAAUGAUUAACAUAAUUAAAACUUAUGCAUACUCAAUGUCAGGGAAUAGGAUGCAACCCAAACGGUAGCAACCACCACUGUAUUUACUUGCCUUUACCGGAAGUUUGGGCAGAUCCCUAAGUACGAUCCGGAAGUCCACCACCUGUUUUUGACACACAACUUAGUGCACCAAUUUCACAUAACCCGGCUCAUAAACGACGCCGCACCUACGCACAAACUCAAACCCCGCCGCGGGUUACAUCUCUCCCCACACCCACCAAACUGCAGCGGCGCUGCUUAAUAAUUUCAUAACUUCAAAAUUAUGACAGCAUUGGUAACAACCAAAAACUCCAGAGGCAUCUACAUAAAAUUUCCCACAAGUUUUGUAUACAAUUUAUAAUUAAAUUCCAACAUCUAAUUAGCCCAAAACAGUUCACAAGAUGAACCCUGUAAUCUGUUUUUUUCUCUUUUGGACAGCGACAUACCCGGAUUCAAACAGCGAUAUCUUUUAAAAUAUAAUUCCAAUUCAAGCGCAUAAGUACUCAUUGGAAAGAUAAGACAAAGCCAUACAUGAUUAUCAUACUGGUUAGCACUAAUUAACCACGAAAAAUUCCCAGAAAUUGCUAAUACUACUGCUGUUCACCCACCUGAAAAAUCUGUUUGUUUGGACAGCAACAUACCCGGAUUCAAACAGCGAUAUCUUUUAAAAUAUAAUUCCAAAUCAAGCACAUAAGUACUCAUUGGAAAGAUAAGACAAAGCCCUACAUGAUUAUAAUACUGGUUAAUACUAAUUACCCACGAAAAAUUCCCAGAAACUGCUAAUACUACUGCUGUUCACCCACCUGAAAAAUCUGUUUGUUUGGACAGCAACAUACCCGGAUUCAAACAGCGAUAUCUUUUAAAAUAUAAUUCCAAAUCAAGCACAUAAGUACUCAUUGGAAAGAUAAAACAAAGCCCUACAUGAUUAUAAUACUGGUUAAUACUAAUUACCCACGAAAAAUUCCCAGAAACUGCUAAUACUACUGCUGUUCACCCACCUGAAAAAUCUGUUUGUUUGGACAGCAACAUACCCGGAUUCAAACAGCGAUAUCUUUUAAAAUAUAAUUCCAAAUCAAGCACAUAAGUACUCAUUGGAAAGAUAAGACAAAGCCCUACAUGAUUAUAAUACUGGUUAAUACUAAUUACCCACGAAAAAUUCCCAGAAACUGCUAAUACUACUGCUGUUCAUCCACCUCAAAAAUCUGUUUUUUUGGACAGCAACAUACCCGGAUUCAAACAACGAUAUCUCCUAAAUUAUAACUCCGAAUCGAGCGCAUAAGUACUCGUUGGAAAGGUAUGACAAAGCUCUACAUGAUUAUCCCACUGAUUCCCACUAAUUACCCCACGAAAAUUCCCAGAAAUCCCUAGAACUACUGCUGUUCACCCACUCACAAAAUUCCUGGACAGCACCUCUACCGAUUCGCAAAGAUAAACACAUAAUCCAAUUGAUUGCAGCACAAAAACAACAAAAGUUAAUCACAAAUUCACCUUAGGUUCUUCCCUUCCUCCUUCCUUCUUCCUCCCUCCAAACUCCAAUUGAGAUCGCAGCCACACGACGGAGAACCACACGGGAGGGCUGCACCUUGGAGGAGGGGGAGAAAUGGGGGGGCUAGGGUUUUGGGUGGUGAGGGCUGCAAAGAUUUGAGGAGGAAGAAGAUGGGAGAGGGGGG
RNAcentral lists this long non-coding RNA (9606 nucleotides) under Zea mays. RNAcentral describes it as "long non-coding RNA (ZMAY_LNC001343)". Lineage: Eukaryota; Viridiplantae; Streptophyta; Magnoliopsida; Poales; Poaceae. The record is from RNAcentral.